RNAcentral lists this ribosomal RNA (2325 nucleotides) under metagenome. Its description in RNAcentral is "bacterial LSU rRNA". It matches the Rfam family "Bacterial large subunit ribosomal RNA", at positions 505 to 2841 of the family's 2925-position model. The record is from RNAcentral.
GAGGGAAAGGUGAAAAGAACCCCGGGAGGGGAGUGAAAUAGAACCUGAAACCGUGUGCCUACAACCGGUCAAAGCCCCUUAUGAGGGUGAUGACGUGCUUUUUGUAGAACGAGCCAACGAGUUACGGUAUGUAGCAAGGUUAAGUACUUAAGGUACGGAGCCGAAGGGAAACCGAGUCUUAAUAGGGCGACUAGUUGCAUGCCGUAGACCCGAAACCGGGUGACCUAUCCAUGGCCAGGUUGAAGCGGGGGUAAAACCCCGUGGAGGACCGAACCACGUUGCUGUUGAAAAAGCAUGGGAUGAGCUGUGGAUAGCGGAGAAAUUCCAAUCGAACUCGGAGAUAGCUGGUUCUCCUCGAAAUAGCUUUAGGGCUAGCGUCGGAUAUGAGUAGUGGAGGUAGAGCACUGAAUGGGCUAGGGGGCAUAGCGCUUACCGAACCUUAUCAAACUCCGAAUGCCACAUACUAUUAGUCCGGCAGUCAGACUGCGAAAGAUAAGUUCCGUAGUCAAAAGGGAAACAGCCCAGAUCGUCAGCUAAGGUCCCAAAGUGUAAGUUAAGUGGAAAAGGAUGUGGGAUUUCUAAGACAACUAGGAUGUUGGCUUAGAAGCAGCCACUCAUUAAAAGAGUGCGUAAUAGCUCACUAGUCGAGAGAUCCUGCGCCGAAGAUGUCCGGGGCUCAAACUUACCACCGAAGCUACGGGUUCACACUUAUGUGUGAGCGGUAGAGGAGCGUCGUAAUCGGGCUGAAGUCGUACCGUAAGGAGCGGUGGACUGAUUACGAGUGAGAAUGUUGGCAUUAGUAGCGAGAUGUGGGUGAGAAUCCCACAGGCCGAAUAUCUAAGGUUUCCUCAGGAAGGUUCGUCCGCUGAGGGUUAGUCGGGACCUAAGCCGAGGCCGAAAGGCGUAGGCGAUGGACAAUCGGUUGAUAUUCCGAUACCACUACUGAUCGUUAUUAUCGAUGGUGUGACGGAGAAGGAUAGAGUGUGCUAGCUAUUGGAUGCUAGUCUAAGCGUUUAGGGAGUUAGGAAAGGCAAAUCCGUCCUAACAAUUCUGAGGCGUGAUGGGGAAGGUUCUACGGAACCGAAGUACUUGAUUCCAUGCUUCCAAGAAAAGCAUCUAGAGAGAGAUGUAGUGCCCGUACCGCAAACCGACACAGGUAGAUGAGGAGAGAAUCCUAAGGCCGGCGGAAGAAUCACAGUUAAGGAACUAGGCAAAUUGACCCCGUAACUUAGGGAGAAGGGGUGCCUGUGAGAGCAGGCCGCAGAGAAUAGGCCCAAGCAACUGUUUAGCAAAAACACAGGUCUCUGCUAAAGCGAAAGCUGAUGUAUAGGGGCUGACGCCUGCCCGGUGCUGGAAGGUUAAGGGGAACACUUAGCGCAAGCGAAGGUGUGAACUUAAGCCCCAGUAAACGGCGGCCGUAACUAUAACGGUCCUAAGGUAGCGAAAUUCCUUGUCAGGUAAGUUCUGACCCGCACGAAUGGCGUAAUGACUUGGGCACUGUCUCAACUGUGAAUCCGGCGAAGUUGUAGUGCGAGUGAAGAUGCUCGCUACCCGCGAUUGGACGGAAAGACCCCGUAGAGCUUUACUGUAGCUUAGCAUUGAAUUUCGGUAUUGUCUGUACAGGAUAGGUGGGAGACUGGGAAAUCAGGGCGUCAGCCUUGAUGGAGUCGUCCUUGGGAUACCACCCUGACAGUACUGAGGUUCUAACUGGAUGCCAUGAAUCUGGUGACAGGACAUUGUUAGGUGGGCAGUUUGACUGGGGCGGUCGCCUCCUAAAAAGUAACGGAGGCGCCCAAAGGUUCCCUCAGAACGGUCGGAAAUCGUUCGAAGAGUGCAAAGGCAGAAGGGAGCCUGACUGCGACACCCACAAGUGGAGCAGGGACGAAAGUCGGGCUUAGUGAUCCGGUGGUACCUCGUGGGAGGGCCAUCGCUCAACGGAUAAAAGCUACCUCGGGGAUAACAGGCUGAUCUCCCCCAAGAGUCCACAUCGACGGGGAGGUUUGGCACCUCGAUGUCGGCUCGUCGCAUCCUGGGGCUGAAGUAGGUCCCAAGGGUUGGGCUGUUCGCCCAUUAAAGCGGCACGCGAGCUGGGUUCAGAACGUCGUGAGACAGUUCGGUCCCUAUCCGUCGCGGGCGUAGGAAAUUUGAGAGGAGCUGUCCUUAGUACGAGAGGACCGGGAUGGACUGACCUCUGGUGCACCAGUUGUUCCGCCAGGAGCACAGCUGGGUAGCUAAGUCGGGAAGGGAUAAACGCUGAAAGCAUCUAAGCGUGAAGCCCACCUCAAGAUGAGAUUUCCCAUAGCAUAAGCUAGUAAGACCCCUUGA